This is a non-coding RNA of Hippopotamus amphibius kiboko, 72 nucleotides long. The record is from the annotation of a RefSeq genome assembly. NCBI's taxonomy places the organism in Eukaryota, Metazoa, Chordata, Mammalia, Artiodactyla, Hippopotamidae.
UCCCUGGUGGUCCAGUGGUUAGGACAAUGCACUUGCACUGCCAAGGUCCAGGCUCAAUCCCUGGUCAGGGAA